Unclassified non-coding RNA from Apteryx haastii (Great spotted kiwi), 162 nucleotides. NCBI's taxonomy places the organism in Eukaryota, Metazoa, Chordata, Aves, Apterygiformes, Apterygidae. The record is from Ensembl.
UUGACAGCACUGGAGAAAAGUGGCCUUUAUUCAUCUUCUGAACAGGUACAUUCAGGCAAGCAGCAGUAAAAGCUCUCUGCUUUUCCCAGCCCAGCCCUGGAGGACAAUAUGCAAAGAUAAAGGGGACAUUUAGUCUUCCAGGCUUGCCACCAAAUCUGUACA